This 253-nucleotide ribosomal RNA is filed under the name uncultured bacterium. RNAcentral describes it as "partial 16S ribosomal RNA". It matches the Rfam family "Bacterial small subunit ribosomal RNA", at positions 524 to 776 of the family's 1533-position model. The record is from RNAcentral.
UACGUAGGGUGCAAGCGUUAAUCGGAAUUACUGGGCGUAAAGCGUGCGCAGGCGGUUUUGCAAGACAGAUGUGAAAUCCCCGGGCUCAACCUGGGAACUGCAUUUGUAACUGCAUGGCUAGAGUGCGGCAGAGGGGGAUGGAAUUCCGCGUGUAGCAGUGAAAUGCGUAGAUAUGCGGAGGAACACCGAUGGCGAGGGCAGUCCCCUGGGCCUGCACUGACGCUCAUGCACGAAAGCGUGGGGAGCAAACAGG